UGGGGAAUCUUGGACAAUGGGGGCAACCCUGAUCCAGCCAUGCCGCGUGUGUGAAGAAGGCCUUCGGGUUGUAAAGCACUUUCAGCAGGGAGGAAGGCUUACCCCUAAUACGGGUGAGUACUUGACGUUACCUGCAGAAGAAGCACCGGCUAAUUUCGUGCCAGCAGCCGCGGUAAUACGAAAGGUGCAAGCGUUAAUCGGAAUUACUGGGCGUAAAGCGCGCGUAGGCGGUGUGUUAAGUCGGAUGUGAAAGCCCAGGGCUCAACCUUGGAAUUGCAUCCGAUACUGGCACGCUAGAGUGCAGUAGAGGGAGGUGGAAUUUCCGGUGUAGCGGUGAAAUGCGUAGAGAU
This 350-nucleotide ribosomal RNA is filed under the name uncultured bacterium. RNAcentral's name for it is "bacterial SSU rRNA". It matches the Rfam family "Bacterial small subunit ribosomal RNA", at positions 355 to 697 of the family's 1533-position model. The record is from RNAcentral.